CUACGGGGGGCAGCAGUGGGGAAUAUUGGACAAUGGGGGGAACCCUGAUCCAGCCAUGCCGCGUGUGUGAAGAAGGCCCUCGGGUUGUAAAGCACUUUCAGUGAGGAAGAACGCCUGGUGGUUAAUACCCAUCAGGAAAGACAUCACUCACAGAAGAAGCACCGGCUAACUCCGUGCCAGCAGCCGCGGUAAUACGGAGGGUGCGAGCGUUAAUCGGAAUUACUGGGCGUAAAGCGCGCGUAGGUGGCUUGAUAAGCCGGUUGUGAAAGCCCCGGGCUCAACCUGGGAACGGCAUCCGGAACUGUCAAGCUAGAGUGCAGGAGAGGAAGGUAGAAUUCCCGGUGUAGCGGUGAAAUGCGUAGAGAUCGGGAGGAAUACCAGUGGCGAAGGCGGCCUUCUGGACUGACACUGACACUGAGGUGCGAAAGCGUGGGUAGCAAACAGGAUUAGAUACCCGUGUAGUC
This 464-nucleotide ribosomal RNA is filed under the name Vreelandella stevensii. RNAcentral's name for it is "partial 16S ribosomal RNA". It matches the Rfam family "Bacterial small subunit ribosomal RNA", at positions 339 to 795 of the family's 1533-position model. Lineage: Bacteria; Pseudomonadati; Pseudomonadota; Gammaproteobacteria; Oceanospirillales; Halomonadaceae. The record is from RNAcentral.